RNAcentral lists this ribosomal RNA (368 nucleotides) under uncultured organism. RNAcentral's name for it is "bacterial SSU rRNA". It matches the Rfam family "Bacterial small subunit ribosomal RNA", at positions 526 to 896 of the family's 1533-position model. The record is from RNAcentral.
CGGAGGGUGCAAGCGUUAUCCGGAUUCACUGGGUUUAAAGGGUGCGUAGGAGGGCAGGUAAGUCAGUGGUGAAAUCUCCGGGCUUAACUCGGAAACUGCCGUUGAUACUAUCUGCCUUGAAUACCGUGGAGGUGAGCGGAAUAUGUCAUGUAGCGGUGAAAUGCUUAGAUAUGACAUAGAACACCAAUUGCGAAGGCAGCUCGCUACACGAAUAUUGACUCUGAGGCACGAAAGCGUGGGGAUCAAACAGGAUUAGAUACCCUGGUAGUCCACGCCCUAAACGAUGGAUACUCGACAUACGCGAUACACAGUGUGUGUCUGAGCGAAAGCAUUAAGUAUCCCACCUGGGAAGUACGACCGCAAGGUUG